This 53-nucleotide microRNA precursor is filed under the name Tupaia belangeri (northern tree shrew). RNAcentral's name for it is "miRNA (ENSTBEG00000019895.1)". Lineage: Eukaryota; Metazoa; Chordata; Mammalia; Scandentia; Tupaiidae. The record is from RNAcentral.
CUUCAUACUCAAGUCCCUGUUCGGGCGCCAGGUGUCCUGACCCGGGGGGACAG